ACGCGUGGACCGAGACGGUCCCGUGCCGUUCGCCCGAGGCGGUGCCGUACUCCUCGUGAGCACGGACCAGCGGCGGUUGGACCGGAGCCACAAGGCGGCAUCGGAAGGUGAGUUGGCGUGGGUUCGUCCCGGACUGACASCUUAUAGCCCUGGCGUGCGGUGCUCCGGCCCGCCCGACGAAGAAGGACAGACCUUGCCCUUUGUGGUGCUGGCCGAAUGUCGGGGCCUCCCGAUCCGAGUGAGCCGUGCUGAGUGUGSUGCGUGCAGKGCUWAUCCUGGCGGCGAUCUCGUGUCUGACAGCCUCUCUUGUGCGCCAGUGCUGCUGGUAUUCGGAC
Molecule: unclassified non-coding RNA, 335 nt
Filed under: Psammocinia sp. QM G303290
Lineage: Eukaryota; Metazoa; Porifera; Demospongiae; Dictyoceratida; Irciniidae
Description: sequence contains 28S rRNA gene
Source: RNAcentral